Molecule: ribosomal RNA, 519 nt
Filed under: Cellulophaga fucicola
Lineage: Bacteria; Pseudomonadati; Bacteroidota; Flavobacteriia; Flavobacteriales; Flavobacteriaceae
Description: bacterial SSU rRNA
Rfam family: Bacterial small subunit ribosomal RNA
Source: RNAcentral
AGAGUUUGAUCCUGGCUCAGGAUGAACGCUAGCGGCAGGCUUAACACAUGCAAGUCGAGGGGUAACAGGGGGCUUGCUCUGCUGACGACCGGCGCACGGGUGCGUAACGCGUAUACAAUCUGCCUUGCACUAAGGGAUAGCCCAGAGAAAUUUGGAUUAAUACCUUAUAGUUUAUUAGGAUGGCAUCAUUUUAAUAAUAAAGAUUACGGUGUAAGAUGAGUAUGCGUCCCAUUAGUUUGUUGGUAAGGUAACGGCUUACCAAGACUACGAUGGGUAGGGGCCCUGAGAGGGGGAUCCCCCACACUGGUACUGAGACACGGACCAGACUCCUACGGGAGGCAGCAGUGAGGAAUAUUGGACAAUGGGCGAGAGCCUGAUCCAGCCAUGCCGCGUGCAGGAAGACGGUCCUAUGGAUUGUAAACUGCUUUUAUACAGGAAGAAUAAGGACUACGUGUAGUCUGGUGACGGUACUGUAAGAAUAAGGACCGGCUAACUCCGUGCCAGCAGCCGCGGUAAUAC